RNAcentral lists this ribosomal RNA (1040 nucleotides) under Bacillus sp. (in: firmicutes). Its description in RNAcentral is "bacterial SSU rRNA". It matches the Rfam family "Bacterial small subunit ribosomal RNA", at positions 76 to 1080 of the family's 1533-position model. Lineage: Bacteria; Bacillati; Bacillota; Bacilli; Caryophanales; Bacillaceae. The record is from RNAcentral.
GAGCUUGCUCCUUCGACGGUUAGCGGCGGACGGGUGAGUAACGUAUGGGCAACCUACCCUAUACUUGGGAAUACCUCCCGGAAAACUGGGCUAAUACCCAAUAACUUGUUUCACCUAAGGGUGAAACACUGAGACACCGUAUCAGCUGUCUCUCCAAGAUGGGACCGCGGCGCAGUAGCUGUUUGGUGAGGUAACGGCUCACCAACGUAACUAUUUUUAGCCGACCUGAGAGGGUGAUCGGCCACACAGGGACUGAGACACGGCCCAGACUCCUACGGUAGGCAAUUUUAGGGAAUCUUCCACAAUGGGCGAAAGCCUGAUGGAGCGACUCCUCGUGGCUGAAGAAUGAUUUCGGUUCUUAAAACUCUAUUAUAAGGGAAUAACAAAUACUUUACUAACUGGCUGUUCCUUGACGGUACCUUAUUAGAAAGCCACGGCCAACUACCUGCCAUCAUACGCGGUGAUACAUAGGUGGCAAGCAUUGUCGGGAAUUAUUGGUCGUCAAGCGCGCGCAAGUGGUUUCUUAAAUCUGAUGUAAAUCCCCACUGCUCCUCCAUGGAUGGUCAUUGGAAACUGGUGGACUUGAGUGCAGAAGAGGAUAGUGUAAUUCCAUGUGUAGCGUUGAAAUGCGUAGAAACUUGGAGGAACACCGCUGGCGAAUGCGACUACACUGGUCUGUCACUGACACUGACGCGCGUAAGCGUGGGGAGCAAACAGGAUGAUAUACCCUGGUAGUCCACACCUCUACACGAUGAGUGCUGACGUGUUAGGGGGGUUUCCGCCCCUUACUGCUGCAGCUAGACGCACUAAGGCACUCCCGCCUGGCGGAGUACGGUCGUCAGACUGAUACUCAGAGACACUUGACAGGCGGCUCGCACACGCGGUGGAGCAUGAUGGUAUAAUUCAAAGCAUCGCUACGACCGUCACCGUCGUCGUAGACAUCUCGAUGACACUGUAGCAGAUCAUAGAUUACCCGUACAGGGGUACUGCUGACCUGUGUGCAUCGCUUGUCGUCAGCAUCGUGUCGUGAGAUCCUGGGU